UACGUAGGGUGCGAGCGUUGUCCGGAAUUAUUGGGCGUAAAGAGCUCGUAGGCGGCCUAUUGCGUCUGCUGUGAAAGCCCGGGGCUUAACCCCGGGUCUGCAGUGGAUACGGGCAGGCUAGAGUUCGGCAGGGGAGACUGGAAUUCCUGGUGUAGCGGUGAAAUGCUUAGAUAUCGUCAAGAACACCGAUAGUGUAGACAGCUUACUAGGCUGAAACUGACGCUGAGGCACGAAAGUGUGGGGAUCAAACAGG
RNAcentral lists this ribosomal RNA (253 nucleotides) under uncultured bacterium. RNAcentral's name for it is "partial 16S ribosomal RNA". It matches the Rfam family "Bacterial small subunit ribosomal RNA", at positions 524 to 776 of the family's 1533-position model. The record is from RNAcentral.